This 319-nucleotide ribosomal RNA is filed under the name uncultured eukaryote. RNAcentral's name for it is "partial 18S ribosomal RNA". It matches the Rfam family "Eukaryotic small subunit ribosomal RNA", at positions 1470 to 1796 of the family's 1831-position model. The record is from RNAcentral.
CCCUUAGAUGUCCUGGGCCGCACGCGUGCUACACUGACGCCUACAGCGAGUACUUCCCAGCCCCGAGAGGCGGCUGGUAAUCAGCAAUAGGCGUCGUGAUGGGGAUAGAUCUUUGGAAUUCUGGAUCUUGAACGAGGAAUGCCUAGUAAGCGCAGGUCAUUAGCCUGCGCUGAUUACGUCCCUGCCCUUUGUACACACCGCCCGUCGCUCCUACCGAUUUCGAGUGGUCCGGUGAAUCUUUCGGACUGCGCGCAGCUUCGUGCCGUGUCGCGGAAAGUCAGGUAAACCUAAUCACUUAGAGGAAGGACAANUCGUAACA